CCUACGGGUGGCAGCAGUAGGGAAUAUUGCUCAAUGGGGGAAACCCUGAAGCAGCAACGCCGCGUGGAGGAUGAAGGUUUUAGGAUUGUAAACUCCUGUUGUUAGAGAAGAUAAUGACGGUGUGUCACUAAUAAGCACCUGCUAACUCCGUGCCAGCAACCGCGGGAAUACGGAGGGUGCAAGCGUUACUCAGAAUCACUGGGCGGAAAGUGUGCGCAGGCGGGCUUGUAAGUCAGAUGUGAAAUCCUGUAGCUUAACUACAGGAAUGCAUUUGAAACUUUGAGUCUAGAGUGUGGGAGAGGUAGGUGGAAUUCUAGGUGUAGGGGUAAAAUCCGUAGAUAUAAAGAGGAAUACUCAUGGCGAAGGCGACCUACUGGAACAUUACUGACGCUCAUGCACGAAAGCGUGGGGAGCAAACAGGAUUAGAUACCCGUGUAGUC
Molecule: ribosomal RNA, 440 nt
Filed under: uncultured bacterium
Lineage: Bacteria
Description: partial 16S ribosomal RNA
Rfam family: Bacterial small subunit ribosomal RNA
Source: RNAcentral